ACAACAGAUUAAAGAAACCACGUGUAUCUACGGUUUACCGAAGUUUUGAUAGAUAGUUGUAAAACGAUUUUAGCCGACUGAGAUAGCAGUAUAGGAUAUUUAACGUGUCAUGAAAUUUAUAGCUUGGAGAUAUAAUAUUAUCAAGAAGAUAAUCUAAGGAGUUAGCAUACGCUGCCUCGUUUACGACUAUCGUGACAACAUAGGCUACAACCAUCCGAAACAGCAGUAGUAUUCUAGUUCAGACUUCAUAACUAUACGGCCCGGUUCGUGCAGAAACAAGUAGGUCGAAGGAAGUCAAAAUUGUAAUCUGAUCGGUGCUGUGUCUCGACUUUUGGUGAAACAAUAAUUGUUUUGGUUGGUUAAACAAUUGUCUCCGUGUCGGAGAAAAAAUUGUCCGUGGAAAUGAAAAUAAACAGGAUAACUUGGAGGAUUUACCACAAGAUUCGGAUGUUCUUGGUGCGAUGUCGUGAUAUUCUGGAAUAUUAGACAAUGUUGAUGAUAACUGGGCAACAGAACUCUGACAGAAAUAAUAAUACAGUAGACAAUUAAAUACACAAUCCUUACGAUACAAAACUGAACAAAGGACAAAACCGAACAAUUUUAAACUGCUAAUCGUCAUGUCAGGGAGUUUGAAUCGCUUGUAAACAACAAUAUUGCGAAUGUCCUUGCAAACAACCAUAUUGCGAAUUUCUUUGCAAACAACCAAAUUGCGAAUGUCCUUGCAAACAACAAUAUUACGAAUGUCGAACCUUUAAAAGAAAUAUCAGCCCCAAAAUGUCCCAGUUCCGAUCAGUAUUGACAAAGAUAUGAUGUUUUGAAAAAUACUUAAUAUUCGACAACUUCUCUAGACGUUAUAAACAAACCAGCGCCGUCUAUAAGUGUUGUGUACAAAUUGUUGAUGGACCUCUUGGUAAUUCGAUUGAAUCCAAACCGGGGGAUUAUCCAAUGCUGAUAUUUUUGUUUUAUUUAUUGAAUUAAAUAUUCAAUUGGCGAACAAUCUGGCGUGUUUUAAGCUGUGAAACAAUUAAAUACUGGUUGCAAAUUUCGCUAAAGGGAGACAAACAAAUAUCGGAGUGAUUAUAGAGCUGUUAGCUACGUGAACAUCCAACCCAGUGAAAAGUGGCAGCAAGAGCACUGAAAAAAAAAACAUACACUGCUUCGUGCACAACACCACCAUAGUGUGCUGUGGCUGUUAAUUUUAAAAUGGAUCCAGUAUAAAGGAACUUAAAUAAUAAAAAUGACUUUAACCAAGGAAAUGAAUGACGGAAAUGUGAAAACCAACUCUCAGUUAAGAGCUAAUCCACUGAACCCCGAGUUAACGGGUGAAACAUUAAGACUGUGUUUAUGGGAAGCUCUUGAUGAAUACCGAGUAACGUCUGGUGUAUUUAAAUGUGCACAAAAAUUAAGUUGUAAUCCUGAAGACGUAAUGUUUUGUGUUUUACCAGAAACUGAAAGUGAGAACAUAGCUAUACAUAUUCAACAUACGUUAAUAAACGCCAUCUGUUUAGAAAACGACAUAAGGAUAGUAAAGGUUAAAAGUGCCAAAAUCCUUCACAGAAGUCUUUGUGGAUUCCAACUCAAGAUGAAAUGCCGCUGUCAUAUAACCAAACGUGCUAUUCCUGCUGAUGUCAGUUGUUUAUUAGUGGAAUUCCCGCCACACCAAUUGAGUAAUGCUGAUAACGCAUUUCUCAUGUUUUAUGAUGACAUCAUAGAAGAAUCAACAGUUAUUCCACGUAUUGAUUUUCCCCCGAAUGAUGUUUGUCCCUAAUGUAUGUAAGACUUUAGUCUCUGAUCGUCACUUGAGGGAUUUUUAAUCCCUUGCAAAAAAUCUUUUCUGUUGGUUGAAACCUUUAUUAGAAUAGAAGUCCAAAAAUGAUUAAUUCCGUUCAUGUUUUAAAGAAGAAACCCUCUGUCGACGAUAUAAACAUAUGGCGAAAAGUCGGCGCCACCUAUAAAAUAUUAAAUCUUUUGGUGGGCCACUGUUUAAACUGCUUGAAUCCAAGCCGGGAGAUUAUCUACCGUUGAUUUUUUGACUUUUUUCCUUAAAUAUAUGUUAAAUAAACGAUCUGAGUACAAUUAAACAAUAUAAAAUUAUACUUUGUCCGAAAAAUGUAAAAUAACAAUCAGCGGCUUUAAGAUGGUAGAUUGUAACAUAGUCGGUCGAAUAUGGAAAGCGAAACCACCAUAGCUUACCUCAUCCGAUGGUGAAAUCGCAGACAAGUUGUCUUUAUUUUAUUAUGACGUAAGAAUUAGCAAAAUAUGGAUAUGUAACUCUAUCUCAUAUCUGGUAAAUUUCCAUUAAAUUUUUAAAAAACAAUUACGAUAUCAGUUUGAAAACAUAUACAGAUAUGAUACUGUUAAACAUAUCUGUAAUGGUUGUGUCACGAAACAUUUGAUAGCUUGCAAACAAAUUAGAACAUUAUUUACCCUUCGAUUCCACAGUGCAGCCAAACUAUUUCAGCUUUCCACAGAAAUAGACACUCUGUAAUUCAGAGAAUAAAACAAGUGUUUUAUGGA
Long non-coding RNA from Patella vulgata (common limpet), 2517 nucleotides. RefSeq lists it as uncharacterized. The transcript is spliced from 5 exons. The record is from RefSeq and is a predicted model, not a curated record. Lineage: Eukaryota; Metazoa; Mollusca; Gastropoda; Patellidae.